RNAcentral lists this ribosomal RNA (474 nucleotides) under uncultured bacterium. RNAcentral's name for it is "bacterial SSU rRNA". It matches the Rfam family "Bacterial small subunit ribosomal RNA", at positions 335 to 799 of the family's 1533-position model. The record is from RNAcentral.
ACUCCUACGGGAGGCAGCAGUGGGGAAUAUUGCACAAUGGGGGAAACCCUGAUGCAGCCAUGCCGCGUGUGUGAAGAAGGCCUUCGGGUUGUAAAGCACUUUCAGUUGUGAGGAAGGUGGUGUCGUUAAUAGCGGCAUCAUUUGACGUUAGCAACAGAAGAAGCACCGGCUAACUCCGUGCCAGCAGCCGCGGUAAUACGGAGGGUGCGAGCGUUAAUCGGAAUUACUGGGCGUAAAGCGCAUGCAGGUGGUUUGUUAAGUCAGAUGUGAAAGCCCGGGGCUCAACCUCGGAACUGCAUUUGAAACUGGCAGACUAGAGUACUGUAGAGGGGGGUAGAAUUUCAGGUGUAGCGGUGAAAUGCGUAGAGAUCUGAAGGAAUACCGGUGGCGAAGGCGGCCCCCCUGGACAGAUACUGACACUCAGAUGCGAAAGCGUGGGGAGCAAACAGGAUUAGAUACCCUGGUAGCACAGAG